UUAAGUUCAGCGGAUAGUCUUACUUGAUUUGAGAUCGAGUUUUACAAGAAUCGUUGCCGACCCUUGUGAAAUCCUGCAUCAGUCAGCCAAUACGGUCAAACUCCCUUUAUGUUAGUUGCAACAAAAGUAAUAAUCCAUUUGACGGGACUAAAUAAAUAUGCUUUUAGCUCAGGAGAAUGUCCAGCUGCACCUGCAUUUCA
RNAcentral lists this unclassified non-coding RNA (200 nucleotides) under Mortierella sp. RNAcentral describes it as "partial internal transcribed spacer 2". The record is from RNAcentral. Lineage: Eukaryota; Fungi; Mortierellomycota; Mortierellomycetes; Mortierellales; Mortierellaceae.